Molecule: ribosomal RNA, 208 nt
Filed under: uncultured bacterium
Lineage: Bacteria
Description: partial 16S ribosomal RNA
Rfam family: Bacterial small subunit ribosomal RNA
Source: RNAcentral
CGUGUAGGCGGUUUAAUAAGUCAGAUGUAAAAGCCCCCGGCUCAACCGGGGAUGGUCAUUUGAAACUGUUAGGCUUGAGUGCGAGAGAGGGUAGUGGAAUUCCCAGUGUAGCGGUGAAAUGCGUAGAUAUUGGGAAGAACACCAGUAGCGAAGGCGGCUACCUGGCUCGCAACUGACGCUAAGGCGCGAAAGCGGUGGGGAGCAAACA